GACGAACGCUGGCGGCGUGCUUAACACAUGCAAGUCGAGCGGUAAGGCCCUUUCGGGGUACGACGAGCGGCGAACGGGUGAGUAACACGUGGGUGACCUGCCCUCCAGCUCUGGGAUAAGCCUGGGAAACCGGGUCUAAUACCGGAUAUGACUCCAUGACGCAUGUUGUGGGGUGGAAAGCCUUGUGCGGCUGAGGAUGGGCCCGCGGCCUAUCAGCUUGUUGGUGGGGUGAUGGCCUACCAAGGCGACGACGGGUAGCCGGCCUGAGAGGGCGACCGGCCACACUGGGACUGAGACACGGCCCAGACUCCUACGGGAGGCAGCAGUGGGGAAUCUUGCGCAAUGGGCGAAAGCCUGACGCAGCGACGCCGCGUGAGG
RNAcentral lists this ribosomal RNA (378 nucleotides) under uncultured bacterium. RNAcentral's name for it is "bacterial SSU rRNA". It matches the Rfam family "Bacterial small subunit ribosomal RNA", at positions 28 to 406 of the family's 1533-position model. The record is from RNAcentral.